This 465-nucleotide ribosomal RNA is filed under the name uncultured Klebsiella sp. RNAcentral describes it as "bacterial SSU rRNA". It matches the Rfam family "Bacterial small subunit ribosomal RNA", at positions 338 to 795 of the family's 1533-position model. Lineage: Bacteria; Pseudomonadati; Pseudomonadota; Gammaproteobacteria; Enterobacterales; Enterobacteriaceae. The record is from RNAcentral.
CCUACGGGGGGCUGCAGUGGGGAAUAUUGCACAAUGGGCGCAAGCCUGAUGCAGCCAUGCCGCGUGUGUGAAGAAGGCCUUCGGGUUGUAAAGCACUUUCAGCGGGGAGGAAGGCGUUAAGGUUAAUAACCUUGUCGAUUGACGUUACCCGCAGAAGAAGCACCGGCUAACUCCGUGCCAGCAGCCGCGGUAAUACGGAGGGUGCAAGCGUUAAUCGGAAUUACUGGGCGUAAAGCGCACGCAGGCGGUCUGUCAAGUCGGAUGUGAAAUCCCCGGGCUCAACCUGGGAACUGCAUUCGAAACUGGCAGGCUAGAGUCUUGUAGAGGGGGGUAGAAUUCCAGGUGUAGCGGUGAAAUGCGUAGAGAUCUGGAGGAAUACCGGUGGCGAAGGCGGCCCCCUGGACAAAGACUGACGCUCAGGUGCGAAAGCGUGGGGAGCAAACAGGAUUAGAUACCCUGAUAGUC